RNAcentral lists this ribosomal RNA (497 nucleotides) under uncultured bacterium. RNAcentral describes it as "partial 16S ribosomal RNA". It matches the Rfam family "Bacterial small subunit ribosomal RNA", at positions 28 to 507 of the family's 1533-position model. The record is from RNAcentral.
GAUGAACGCUGGCGGCGUGCCUAAUACAUGCAAGUCGAGCGAACAGACGAGGAGCUUGCUCCUCUGACGUUAGCGGCGGACGGGUGAGUAACACGUGGAUAACCUACCUAUAAGACUGGGAUAACUUCGGGAAACCGGAGCUAAUACCGGAUAAUAUAUUGAACCGCAUGGUUCAAUAGUGAAAGACGGUUUUGCUGUCACUUAUAGAUGGAUCCGCGCCGCAUUAGCUAGUUGGUAAGGUAACGGCUUACCAAGGCAACGAUGCGUAGCCGACCUGAGAGGGUGAUCGGCCACACUGGAAGUGGGACACGGUCCAGACUCCUACGAGAGGCAGCAGUAGGGAAUCUUCCGCAAUGGGCGAAAGCCUGACGGAGCAACGCCGCGUGAGUGAUGAAGGUCUUCGGAUCGUAAAACUCUGUUAUUAGGGAAGAACAAAUGUGUAAGUAACUAUGCACGUCUUGACGGUACCUAAUCAGAAAGCCACGGCUAACUACGUG